GCUGACGAGUGGCGGACGGGUGAGUAAUGUCUGGGAAACUGCCUGAUGGAGGGGGAUAACUACUGGAAACGGUAGCUAAUACCGCAUAAUGUCGCAAGACCAAAGAGGGGGACCUUCGGGCCUCUUGCCAUCGGAUGUGCCCAGAUGGGAUUAGCUAGUAGGUGGGGUAAAGGCUCACCUAGGCGACGAUCCCUAGCUGGUCUGAGAGGAUGACCAG
This 217-nucleotide ribosomal RNA is filed under the name Escherichia coli. Its description in RNAcentral is "partial 16S ribosomal RNA". It matches the Rfam family "Bacterial small subunit ribosomal RNA", at positions 87 to 307 of the family's 1533-position model. Lineage: Bacteria; Pseudomonadati; Pseudomonadota; Gammaproteobacteria; Enterobacterales; Enterobacteriaceae. The record is from RNAcentral.